ACGCUGGCGGCGUGCCUAAUACAUGCAAGUCGAACGAGAGCGACCGGUGCUUGCACUGGUCAAUCUAGUGGCGAACGGGUGAGUAACACGUGGGUAACCUGCCCAUCAGAGGGGGAUAACAUUCGGAAACGGAUGCUAAAACCGCAUAGGUCCUUUAACCGCAUGGUUGAAGGAGGAAAAGAGGCGCAAGCUUCUGCUGAUGGAUGGACCCGCGGUGCAUUAGCUAGUUGGUGAGGUAACGGCUCACCAAGGCCGUGAUGCAUAGCCGACCUGAGAGGGUGAUCGGCCACAUUGGGACUGAGACACGGCCCAAACUCCUACGGGAGGCAGCAGUAGGGAAUCUUCCGCAAUGGACGCAAGUCUGACGGAGCAACGCCGCGUGAGUGAAGAAGGUUUUCGGAUCGUAAAACUCUGUUGUUAGAGAAGAACAAGUGCUAGAGUAACUGUUAGCGCCUUGACGGUAUCUAACCAGAAAGCCACGGCUAACUACGUGCCAGCAGCCGCGGUAAUACGUAGGUGGCAAGCGUUGUCCGGGUUUAUUGGGCGUAAAGCGAGCGCAGGCGGUUCCUUAAGUCUGAUGUGAAAGCCCCCGGCUCAACCGGGGAGGGUCAUUGGAAACUGGGGAACUUGAGUGCAGAAGAGGAGAGUGGAAUUCCAUGUGUAGCGGUGAAAUGCGUAGAUAUAUGGAGGAACACCAGUGGCGAAGGCGACUCUCUGGUCUGUAACUGACGCUGAGGCUCGAAAGCGUGGGUAGCAAACAGGAUUAGAUACCCUGGUAGUCCACGCCGUAAACGAUGAGUGCUAAGUGUUGGAGGGUUUCCGCCCUUCAGUGCUGCAGUUAACGCAUUAAGCACUCCGCCUGGGGAGUACGACCGCAAGGUUGAAACUCAAAGGAAUUGACGGGGACCCG
Molecule: ribosomal RNA, 910 nt
Filed under: uncultured bacterium
Lineage: Bacteria
Description: bacterial SSU rRNA
Rfam family: Bacterial small subunit ribosomal RNA
Source: RNAcentral